RNAcentral lists this long non-coding RNA (12680 nucleotides) under Cucumis sativus (cucumber). Its description in RNAcentral is "long non-coding RNA (CSAT_LNC002516)". The record is from RNAcentral. Lineage: Eukaryota; Viridiplantae; Streptophyta; Magnoliopsida; Cucurbitales; Cucurbitaceae.
UGUGCUGAUGUAUUAUAUUCACGCUUUGCAUGUGUUUUUAUCAUGCUCUCAUCAUUGAUGUGGGUUAUUUAUGUGAUUCUAUAGAUAAUUUUCUUUCAAAAAGUAACGGAAAAAAAUGUAUUAUGUAGGACAGGUGGUUUACAGUCCUCGAAUAUUAAAAAAUCACAACUUAAAAUCCAUCCCUGAAGAAAUAAGAACAUAGAAGAAUGCAUAUAAUGGGUCCCAAAAUUGUGUGUACUGAUUAGGCAAAGUAGCCUUGCGAGUUCGAGAUCUCCUCCUUGUCCAAGUUACUCAAAAGGAGCUAUAAAACAAAAAAUGGCAAAAGAUGAAAAAUAAACUCACACUCAGCCUCUUAAGGCUUCUUCUCUAACUAAUCGAAUCUCACCAUGGUCCCCACCAAACACCUACGCACUUACCCACAAGUAACAAUCUCAUUCCUCCCUAAUUACAUCAUUUUCCCAUCACGUCUCUCCCUCCUGUUUCUUCGGGAUAGACCUUAGCAAAUCGGGUUCUAUCAGCAUAUUUUUGAAUAUAUGUAUAUUAUAAAACCUCUUCAUUUUCUUUCAAAUUGUUAAGGAAAUGUCAUAAUAUGAGAACUGGUUUCAGUGUAAUUAUUCUCAAUUUUAAAGUUAGACAUGGAGCUUAUAGCGUUUGGCACUGCCAACAUCUCGUGCAUAAUUGAAUUGUAUGUUUUAAUUGAAAGUAAGCUGUCUUCUUGCUUUGUAAUAUUCUCAUCUUGAGUUCAAUGUGACCAUAAACAUAUGCAGUGUCGAUGCUUUUAAAAAGACAAGCUGCUGAAGAUUCAGCACCGUGCAAAAAAUCAAAUUCAUCUUCACUUGGGAAUUUAGGGAAUUGUUCUCAAGGAUUUAAUGGAUCAUUUGACAAUGGUGACCAAUCGGGCGAUCUUCCAAGUGAAUCUUGUUCUUUGACAAACCUAGAAACAGAAGAUUCUCUAUUAGAAACAGGUGAGUGUUCUGGUGGAAGUUAUGCCAAGGAGGCUGCAUGCAAAACCUUAACUACGCACGAACCUCUACAUGCGAAAGCAUUACCUGAGAAUCCAACUCGGAAAAGAGUUAGAAGGUGUUCCCAGAUGUCAUUAAAGGCAUUCUUCCAGAAAAAUUCAGUUGUUAGCAACGAUGCUGACAGCUCUAAUGCAGAUUCUUCAAUCAGCAAAGGAGAUACCUCCGAGUCUAAUUCUAUUGAAAUUCCUAGAUCAAAUACUCAAAUCAGCGACUCAGGCCGACAGUUAGAAGCAUAUCAGGGUCAGUCUCAAAUUAAUGCCACUCCUGAGAAAGAAAAGAGUGGUGUUGCCAUGUUGGAAUGGCGGAGGAUACAGCAGGUUAUGCAGAAUAGCAUACCCCUUUGCAAGGGCCAUAAGGAGACUUGUGUUGCUCGAGUAGUUAAGAAACAAGGUCCUAAUAAUGGCCGCAGAUUUUAUGUUUGUGCUCGUGCGGAGGUAACCCUAUUGUUUUCUGAGGGUUUUAACACGGUAUCAAAUUUAGAAAGUUUUAUUACAAAUUACCAAGUCAACAAGUGAUGAGUAGUACUCAAGUAUUAAUAAAUAUUGAAUUAAUAAUUCAUUAACUUGCAUACCCUGGUUAUAACUCAUUUAAUUUUUAUUGAUACAUGCUUGUAGUCGAGUAUUUAUAAAGAUUGAAUUUAUCAUAAUUCAUUAACUUUUGCUGUUCGAUGUUCCCCUGCGAUUUAACACAUUUUAUUUUCAUUGGUGCAUAUCUCGUAGCCAAUGUCAAGUACCUUUGCUAACUGAAAAUUUCUUUUACUUCAUCAGGGUCCCGCAUCUAAUCCUGAAGCAAAUUGUGGUUACUUUAAAUGGGCGGCUUCCAAAUCUCGGCAUAAAUAAGCCGAUAAUUGCUGGUGUCGUAAUGCAGAAUUGGCCAAAUUCAUUCCUUAUCCUUUGCUUCCUACCAGUAUUCAAUUUUGUAUCUCUGGAUGGAUGCUGACUCGCUGACCAUCAAUUCUGUAAGAGUUAUUGCCCUUUCUCUCUUACUUUUAGCGCCUGCAUAUAUGAACUCCAAUCAUUUAGCUAGUUGGAAUCAGCUCAUGUAGUAGCGUCACAUGCACAUAAAAUUAUCAUUUCUUUUUCUUAAUGGCAAGAUGAAUGAGAAACCACUUUGUUGAUUUUUAAAAAAUACACACACAAAACCAACUUUUGCUUAGAGCCUAGAGGGAAAAGAAAGAUUAACUGAAUCUUGAUCCAACUAUCCUGCCUUUUUAAUGGUUAGUUUAAAAACAAUGAUUUUAACUUAUCUGCAAUUAGCAUACUGAUGGUGACUAUUUGCACUAUGGGAUCCUUCCUAAUAUCUUCGAACAAAGUUGCAGGAUAGUUUGCUGAUAAAAAGUGUCAAGGAAAGGUAAAAAGGUAUGACAACGAACUGCUGUUUCACCACUAACUAUACUGCUGAGCUUCAUUUUUUAACAAAAAAAUCCAAGCAUGAUUCACAACCCUUCAAUACACUGAUAUUUCUUUUUGUUUGCAUGUAAACUUGCUGCACUAAAUUAGGAACCUUUUUGCAUAUAUAUUCUAUUCAAAACCUAAAUGAAGAGAUAACCCUUCAAACAUUCCUCCUCCCCUUCUUCACCCAGAAACAUGAAUUCAGUGGAUGAUCUCGGUUACAGCAACAGACGCCUUCUUAAAGAUUCCUUAUUUGAACAACCAUUUGGAAACCGAGAAAGAAUUGUUACUAUAUGUGCGACUUCUGCCAUUGCAGCCCUGUUUGUAAUCUCUCUGUUCAUCUCCCUCUUCACCUGCUUUCGGCGUCAACUGAACUCUCCUUCCUCUAAACCUCUCUCAUCCACAUGUAGCAGCCAGUUACUCACUACCAUGCCUGUAUAUAUCUAUGGUGAUUCAUCUUCGAAUAUGCCGUCGUCUUAUUGUUUUACAUCGUUUGAAUCCAGGACCUGUGUCAUAUGUUUGGCGGAGUUUGAGUACGGAGAUGAACUUCGUGUUCUGCCUAACUGCAAGCAUGUGUUUCAUAAAGGUUGCAUUGAUCAAUGGCUUCCAUUGAGAUCGUUGCUUUGCCCUCUUUGUCGAGAACAUACAAUCAAGGAGAUUGAGACCAUGAGGAGACCCGUUUGUUCAAACUAUUGGUCCCGAAAUCCAGCCUUCAUAUUGGCUUUCGGCCUUGGUAGUAAUGCCCCAUUACCCUCUCAAUUGUAAUUUCCAUAUCGAGUAAUUACAAAUCUAGCCUAAUUUAUCUAAACUAGAAUAGCAGCUUAAAAAGUUACGAUUACACAAACUCGGAAAAUACAUCUUAAUUAAUAUAUUAGUUAGUAAGUAUUUAGUAUGGUUAUUGUUAGUCAAUCUAUAAUUUAAUCGGUGAUAUACUAAGAACAUAGUUGAUUUAUAUUUAAGUUAAUCACGGAUAUAUUAAGACCUAAUUCAUUUGAUAUAGUUUAGAUAGAUAAUACAUAGUUUAUUCAUAAGAAUUGAUAAACAUCGCUGAGGUUGCCAACGAUUUGAAGUACUGCAUUUGAUAUGUGCUUUUGUGAUGUAUUACAUACAUGUUUGGUUAAAAUUUAUGAGUGACAACUCCAAGACGGGUAACUUUGGCGUAUCUACACGUUUUUGUAAUUUCAUGUUGGGUAGUCCACUUGAUUUUAAAUAAGGCUAAAUAAUUAAAGAAAAAACUUUUAUUUUCUUAACUUUUCAAAAUUUUCAAUAAUGCUUUUAAAGGUUAAACAAAAGGUUCUAAAUAUCCAUGCAAUUAGUUUUGGGUUUUGUACUAAAAACAAAAAAAAAUGUCAUGGCUAUUGCUAUUGCUAUUAACGAUUUCUGUACCUAUAUUAAUGAUAGGGAUAUUUUUUUUAACGUUUUUAAAUUUCAUUGUUGAAAAUUUUGGAAGUUUAUUCACUUUUCCUUUGUUGGGUGCUAUAUUUGUUUUAAAUUUAUUAGAGGGUGUCAACUUUAGAUCUGAAAAUUUAUUAGAGCUAUUUCACAUGAAACAGUGAAUAAAGUAAAAGUGGUUUAAUUUUUUUGUCCUUUCAUGUCUUAACUAAAAAUAUGCUCUUUAAAUUUUGCUUGGAUCUCUAAUUUUUCAAUGAUUAUCUUUUCAGCCAUGAAUUUUGAAUUCAAUUUCUAUUUGAUAUUUAAAGUUCUCAAAGUAUUACUUUUUGAGAGAUGUGUUUCUAUUUAAUUUGGAAGUUUCAAUCACUUUAUCAUUAGUUAACAAUCACCUUUGAUCUUUCAGUUAAUUACAAUUUGAAAAGUUUAAGUGUAAAAUAAUUGAUCCAAAACUAAACAUUAUUGUGAAGAAAAAGAUGGAUCCAUACCGAACAGUCCCAUUAGAAAACAUCCAAAGAAGGAAGUCUUUUUAUUUUAAAAAAUAUUUACAUGCAAAGUCUUCCACUUUAAAUUAUAAAUAAUAUAUCUAUUCCAAAACAAAAUUAUUAGUAAUACACACGGAGGAGAUGGAGGUGGAGGUGGAGGUGGAGGUGGAGGUGGAGCAACUUUUUUUGCCGGGUCGGACCCAACAUUCUAGAAGGCUUCAAUUGGAAAAAUGAAUUCACAUUUCCGCAAAUGAGAAGUGCUACUACACAUUUAUUCAUUAACUUUUGAGCUUUUAUCUUUAAAUUUCAAAAUAUCAUAAUUUUACCUUUUUUUUAUUUUAUAUUUGAGUUUUGUUUCGACUAAAUCUAUCACUCUCAAAUUUUACUCUUCUAAAUUGAAUAUUCAUUUUUCAAUCUUUAAUAUUAAUUUUCAAUUUUCAAUUUUUAAUAUUAAUUUCUAUUGAUUAAUUUAAGCUUUUAAAAAAUCAUAGCCAAUUAAGUUUUAUCAUCUUUUUCAUUAUUAUUAAAAUUUAAUUUUAAAUUAUUAAUAUAUUUAACAAUAAAGUCUAAAGUAAGUAUUUAAAAAAAAAAUCUAACAAUAACUUAGCUUAACCAACACAAACACAUGUAUAACGAUAAAACGAAGUAGAAAUAAAAUCUUAAGAGUAAACUUUAAUGUUUAGAGAUUUUUAAUUAAAUUGAAAUAAAAAAAUAUUCGAGACAAAAAUAUAAUAUCUUGAAAUUUAUUAACUAAAGAAAAACAAAACCUGAAGAAGAUAUUUUCCAUUUUUAAAAACAAAAAAUAACAAAAAGAUAUGUUCUUUAGCAGACCAAAAAAAAAAUGGAAGAAGUUUUGGAUUUAGAAGGAAGAGGAGUACCAGCUGGGGGCUGCCAUAAUUUUGGCCCUACAAUUAUGCCCUUUUUUUCAUUUUUUAAAUAUAUGAUAAUCUUUUUUAUUUCCAUUAAAAGAAUAAACAACUCAUCCAUUAUAAAAAAAUGACUUCAAGAUCUUUUUAGGAUGGAAACAUAUUUUUCCACUUAGAGAACUCAUUUGGCUACAAUUCAAUAAAAUAAUAAAAAGGAAUCAUACAGGUUUUUUAAUAUCUUUAUUUUGUUUUUCUAAUGCAUUUAUCAAUGUAUAGGAAACCCUAAUUCUAAUUUAUGAGGUAAUUAUUAAUUUGUUUCUUAAAAAAAAAAAGAAUGAAAGGAUAAUAAUUUAACUUUUGUUUCAUAAACAUUUCAUUUAUGAAAAAGAAAUAAUUGAAUACUACUUUUCUUAGUAAAACGUUCUUUUAUUUUUAAUUCUAUUUUUUUAAAACAAAAAAGUAGAAUGUGAUUUUGAGAUCGAUGUUUUUUCGAACUAUUCUUGAAAGUUACGGUAUAUAUUUGUCUAUAUAUAUAUAUAGUGAAUGAAUGGUUGAAAUUGAUACUAUUAAUUCCUUUAGUUACACAAAAAAUGGUUUUAUUGUGUAAGAAAUAAUCUCUCACACCAUUUAAUAAUUUCCUCCACAAAAAAAUAUUACUUCAAACCUUGACUAAAUCUUUUUGUUCUUAGCUUUGUAAUUAAAUAACCUUAUUGAAACAUAAUUUAUUGACCGUUAGAAAAGUUAUUUCUUAAAUUUAAACAUCUCGAGUUUCUUAGAAUAAUUAAUUUUUCUAUGGGAAAAUAUAUAUUUAAAAAAAUGUAUAAUUAUUAAUACUACAAAUUCAAAUUCUCCUUAUCUUUAAUUCGUACACCACUUUAAAAGAAGAUCUAAUCCUUUUAUGAUAAUAAUUAUGACAUAAUUCAAGCUGAAACUUAAAAGAUUAAGAAAUUAUAAUUAAAAACUGGAGAUGACCAAGAACCCAUUGGGUUUGAUUUUAACGUCUUGAGCUUGACCCAUUAGAGAGUGAAAGAAAAGUCGAAAUUUGCUUUGUUUUUUUUUUCAUAUUUUUUAAUCAUAUUAUUUGAAUUUUAAUGUUUUUGUUUUGUUAUUUUUGUUAUUGUUGUGGUUAUCUUUAUCUUCCACUUGGUGAUGUUGUGAUUUGAUUAUCCUAUACACAAAGGAUGUGAUGACACAUUUUCUACUUAUUACUGCUUUUAUCUCAACUUUAUUUUAACAUAAAGUUGUUAUUUUAUGCUCUUCUAUUUCACUAGUGGCUAAUUAUUAAUGAUCAAAAUGAUAGAUUACUACUCUUUAUAUAUAUAUUUAUAGAUCAUACGUUCAAUACACGUAAAAGUUUUAUAAUAGGGGUUUAUAAAGAAAAAGUAUGUUGAUAUAACAAUGGAAAAGUAUUUAGAAGGAUAGAGACAUGGAGUUUUCUUCUUCUUAACUAAUAAAGAAAGGUGGAAUGGAGAAUUUUUUAUCUAUUAAUUUAAAUACAUGUGAAAAUUAAUCUCCAUAAAAUUUGAUUUAAGUUAUAUUAUGUUUCAUUUUUUGGAUGUUGAUCGUUUUUUCUUUCAUUAAUUACGACAAAGAAUAACUGUGUAGAGGUAUUUAUUUAGUUUUGAUCUUCCUCCUUAUGGCCACUUAACCUUUCCCUCUCAUAUUGCCAUGCACUGUCCCUAUUUUCUUUUUCUCUUCUCUUCUUCUCUUUUCUUAUCUUUUCUUCCUCUUUAAUUUCUUCAUCAAUAUCUUUCCUAGCGUUUCGAAGAAGAGGAGAAAGGAAAAAGAAGAAGAAAUUUGAAAUAAAUGGCAUGUGGCUCUUCAUUUAAGAGUUAUGUUUUUAGAUUUCAUGAUGUUCUUCCUCAAGGAAUACAUUUUCUUCCUUUUGUAUAACAAACUUGAAUAAGAGACAUUUUUUUUGUGAAUUGGAACUUCAUUUUUUUCCUUUAAUUUUUCUCCAUUUUUUAUUAUUACUUAUUUAGCAUAAACCAAACCUAAUAGUUAAGUGAGUGGUUGUUUAAUUAUUAAUGAUUUUUUUAAAUUCCGAUAUUUCAACUAAUUAAUUAAACAUUUAACAUGUAAAUAAAACUUUUGUUAUAUUUUAUUUUUGUAAAAAAGCUGAGAAUUAGGCAGCUGUUUUUCUACAACAUGUGUUUCUUUGGGCCAGGGUUCUAGAAACAUUAUUGUUUUCUUUCUUUAAUAUAUAACACACUUAAUGUUAUGUUACACACAUCAUAUAAACAUAUAAUUAUAUAAAAUAUAAUUCAUCCAAUGGGUUUCAAAUGCUUCACUUUCAUAAGUUUCAAAAGUCAAGCUAAUUAUUCAUAAAAUAAUCCUCAACUAGGGCCAACAUUAAAGGGUCACUAAAUAAAUACGAACUAAAGGUUAAACAUAUUUUUCUAAUAUAAAAGAUGAAAAAUUGUAACAUAUAAUUUACUUAGGAUAGUGACCCCAAUAAUAUAAUAUAUAUAUAGAGAGAGAGACAGAGAGAGAGAGAGAGAAGAUUAGAAUUUAAAAUGGAGUAAAUUGAGAGCCAAUCAACAUCUGAAUCAGUCCAAUAAAUUAGGGUUUUGUUAAGUCAACUAAGCUUUUUGUUAAGUCUUCUAUAUGACGAGAGACUUAAUUAAAUGAAUUACUUUUUAUGAUAAUGUUUAUUUCAUUUAAUUUGUUUAAUUCAACUAAUUGGACAAUACUCUCUUUGUAAUUAUUAUCAUUAUUUUAUAUUUACUUUUGAACAAUAUGGGUUCACCAAUUAAAGCAACUUACUAUUAUUUUAAUUUUAAUAAAUUUUGUCGUGGAUGUUUGCUUGUAAUGAUAGUGAUGUUAUCGAUCAAAAUUUUGAGAAAUUUUUGGUUCAAUCAUCUUUUUACUUUUUCUUGUGUGUGUUUAAGUUUAUUAUUAUUAUUUAAAUUUUACUUUAGAAAUCAUAUUCAUACCAUUAGAAAUUCCAAUUAACCUAACUACGUCUUGGAUGAAUUCAUAAAAAUUAUAUAUAAUUACAUUAGUUUGCCCCUUCAUAUGUCUACCCUUUUUUUUAAUUAGAUUUAUCAUGAAAACUUUGUUAAAUAUUCAUUAAUUCCACCUAUCGAAUCCACAUUCGAUCCAUCACUUUUUAUUAUACAACUCUUGGAAUAUGUAUAAUUGAAAAAUACAUAAAUUUUUUAUUUAAAUUGAAUAACAAAAUAAAAUAUUUAAAAAUAUAUGAUUGUUGCUAAAAAAAAUUAGAUGCAUCACUUAUAAAUUUUAUCAAUUUUAAACUAUUAAAAUUAUAUAUCUUACAUAAUUAUUUUAUCCAAACAAAAUAAUUUGAAUUGAUUCAUCGGUUCAAAGUUUAAACCAAUACAAUUUUCUUAAAGUUUAUUAGGCCACGUACGAUGAUGAGUCAUAUGAAAUAUUUGACAUAAAAAUAUACAUAACUCUACCUGCAUAAAAAAAUAUUUGACAUCUAGGCAAAUUUAUAUAUACAAAUUAAAAUAAUUUAAUCCCAACUUACUAGAGGAGGUUUAGGUAUUAGGUCAACCUUAUUCAUACCAAUUAAAGAGUAUAUAUGUUGCUACCUUGCUAAGCAACAUUUACAAAAUUAAAAAUUAAAAAAAAAAUUGAACAUUAUUUGAAUUAGCUAACAUUAUAGUUAUUUUAAAAUAUUUUUUAGUUGUAACUAAACCAACAGAAUAUUUUCCCACUCCAUAUAGUAAGCAAGGUAGAAAAAACCCAUUUUAAACUUAAUUAAAAAUCAUGAAAUCUUUAUUAAGUAAUUUCAAAAAACUACUUUAAAUAUAUAACUUUUUUUUAAAAAAAAGACAUCUACAUUUUAUUUGUAUUUUUAUUUUAAAAAAAACUAUAAAGUUGAGACAUCCACUUCUUAUUGGACAUUUUGAAAUUUCAAUAUUAAAAAAAAAAAGAUCUCUUAAAUAUCAAUUGAUUAUCAAUUGUCACAUUUUUUUUUUAAGUAAACAAUCCCAACUAUUAAAAUCGACGCAAAAUGGUAACAACCACAAACGUAUAACUUAAUAAUCAUCAAAAUUCAAUAUUAAAUCAAAUAUUUAAAAUUACAUCAAAUAAUAAUAAAUGGUAAGUACAGUUCCCAUUACCACACGGCUCUUUAUAGUCUUUUUUUCUAAAAGAAAAACUCUUUACCUAUUACCAUUUUUACUCAAUUUUUUUUUUAUAAACAUUCACAUAUUAUAUUUUAUUGUACGAAUAUUAAUAUUAUUAAUAAUUAACUAGUUUCAGUAAAACUAAAAUUCACCCAUGAAAAGCACAAUCAUAAACAUAAAUAAAUUUCAAAUUAUAAAAACCCAAAAAUGUUAUAUUAUAUAGAUAGAUAGAUACUAUAGUAUUAAAAUCCAGAAAGAAAAAUUAAUAAAAUCAUAUUCACUAAAAAAGGGGGGGAAAAAGAGAUUCUCUUGAUAAAAAGAUCUCCCAAUUGAAAGUACAUUGAUACCAUAAAUAAAAUAUUUUUGAAAAAGAAAAAAGAAAAAAGAAAAGGAGGAUAUUUUUUUUAAUUUAUUGGUUGGAAAGUUGGUAGUUCAAUUACGUCCAGGUAUUUAAAUUGAUAAUAAUAAUAAUAAUAAGUGGAGUGUAUUCUCCAACAGCACAAAGAGAAAAACCUUGUGGAGAGUUGAGGAGAGGGUCCCAUGCGUUCUUGGAUUAUAUCAUAUAUCACCUUUUUAUUAUUAUUAUUAUUUAUUUUCUUCUUCAAAUUAAUCAUUUUACUAAUGAGUUCAGAUAUAUAUAUAUAAUGAGAAAUUAAUUUUGACAAUGAUCAUAUUCUACUAUAAAACUAGGACAUGAAUCGAGAUUGAGGCAAACACAAAUUCCUUUUAUGAAAUGCCUAAAUUUCUUUGUAUAACACUUAAAUAGCUUGUUGAGGAAUGAUCUCAAUUCUCAAAGCUCCAUGAUGUGUCAAAUAUUAAUUUUGUAAAAUUUGGUCGAUCACAGUUUCAUAUUUUGACCUAAUAGUGAGAUUGUCACCUCUAAUCCCACCCUCUUACAAGUGGAGAGCCAACUACACACCGAAUGCUCUAUGAAAACACAGCCAUUGGGAUCUACACAUGCUUUCAUAAUUUGAUCAAAAUUAAAUUUCGUUAAAUAAUAUAAAUUAUUUUUAGUGUACUUUCUUCAAUAGUUUUAGACGGCAUUUUCCAUUUAUAAAAUAUGCAUAUUGUUUUGAAGAAUCAUUAGAAAAAAAAAAGGUAUUCUUACGUAAGAUAUUUUGAAAAUUUAAUUUCAAUACGUUAAUCUUUUUUCUUUCUUUAAUGGAUGAACAGGACUUAGUUUCCCAAUGUUUCAUCUUUUUCUAUACUUAAUAACUAUUCUCAUUUGUUGAAAAAAAAAAUUAGAAACCUAAAUUUGAUUGAUAAUCAUCCUUUUUUUUUAAUCAGCUAAAAAAUAAAAAAAUGUAUAUAUAAUUCAUUAUUAUAUAUAAAUAAUUAUAAAACAUCAACUUCUCAAAUACACAUAAACAUCGUUGCAAAAUUAAUAAAUAUAAGAAAAAUUAUAUCAAAUGACAAAAACAUUAAAAAGAAUUAGCUCGUAGACACAGUUUUUUUAUAUUACAAAUAUGACAGAAUUAGUGAUAUUAGACCGUAAUCAUAAGUUAUCAUAGGACUAUCAGAUGAUCAUCACUUUUAGAUUUGCUAUUUUUGCAAAUUUAGAAAAUGUUAGGACAUAGGUUCUAUUAUCCUAAUUUUUUUUUGUUGAUAUUUUUGCAAAAGUCCCUAAAAUAAUACAAUAUUUUUUAUCAAUCAUAUGCUAUUAAAAGCUGAUUUAAAGCAUUAUUUCUCAUUCAAUUCAUUUCUUUUAAAUAAUGUUGAUUCAAAUUUAACUAAAUUAUAUCAUUAUGGUUGUAAAAUAUUCAAAAGAAAGAUAGAGAAAUUGACAAAAUGUUUACGCUUCACAAGAAAAUCAAGUGUAAUUAAUUUUAUCAUUUAUGAAUGUUUUAUGAAUCGUAAAUAUUUUGUUAAAACUUUUCAAUUCUUGGAAAGAAAAAUCCCUCAAAGAUAACCCAAACGAUUAUCUUAGCAAAAAAAAAUCAUAUAAUGUAAAAUUCUAUCCUUAUAUUAAAAAUAAUAAUUUAAAAUUUAAAAUAGCAUAUAAAGAUAUAAAUUGUAAAAUUUAAAUUUUUGGAGAAUAAAAAUAACAUAUAAAUUUAAAUAACAUAUGCAACGUGGUAUAUGAUAUUUUUUACCCUGUUGGCUCCCACUAAAGGGGCUUGCUUUAAAUCCGAGGGCACCUCUCAUCUCACCUAAGCACAGCCAAGGAUCACACUUCCUCUUAUCACAAACUUCAAAUAGCAUAACAUUAAGAGUGAAUUUAAAUAAUAACAGUUACCAUAAAAUAAUUUAAAUAUAUAUGAAUUUUAGGAAUAUUUCAAAUUUUGAAAAAUCUAUAAAAUAUUUACUAACUAAUAUAAAAAUUAAAUGUAAUUAAUUUUGUGGCUCAAAAAUGUUUUGAUAUAUAAUUUAGAUCAAGUAAAAAUUCUUAGGUAGGGAGGUGAGAGGACAAGUCCUUUAUAAAGUUGCUUAUUUUUUCUACGAUUAAAUAGUUUGUUUUAUUUUUUUUCUUCAAAAUCUGUUAAUUUUAAUAUAGAUUAAGUUCAAGAGAAUUUUAAAUUUACAAAGAGAAAAUAUAUAGAUCAUAGAUACACAGUGUUAUUUUAUAAAUAUUUUAGUAUGUUAAGUAAAGUUGAAGAAAUAAAAUAAAACAUUUAAAAAUACAAAAACCAAAAUAAGGAAAGGAAAUGAAUCGAAGAUGGAGAAGCGAAGUGGAGACACCGUCAUCGUUCACAUCCGUUUAUUUAGAAAUUAGAACCUUCUCUUUUUUUAUUUAUUUAAUUGUGGAAGGAAAAAAAGGGGGGGUUUUAAACGGCGUGCAUAUGCAAGAACGGAAAAGCAAUAAAAUUGGAUAAGCCAAUUGCUGAGUCACUAUCCUGCAGCCUGGGCCCACAUAGAAACCCAAAAUGGCCUUCUCAUUUAACCCCAUACACUCACUUUUAUAACUCUGGUUAAAUUUUUGACCCAACCCCCGGUCCCACUCCUUCUUUUUAUAUAAUCCCCAUCCCCUCUCCCCCUUCUUUCUCCAUCCAUUUUCAUCCCCCACAAAUCCAAGAAAAUGUUAUCUGCUGCCUCUUCUCCUCUUACUCUCCCCUCUCUUCCACCCCUUUCUUCCUCUCCCCGUGACUUUACACGUGUCAGAUUCCGACCUCCACAGGCCUUCUCCUCCACCGCCACUGCUUCUUCCACCGCCUACGCCUCCAGACCCGACACCGCCUCCCCCUAUCUCAACCUUCAAACAAUGUCUUCCUGCACUUCCCUUUACGACGUCCUUGGAAUCCCUACUGGAGCUUCUUUUCAGGAGAUUAAAUCCGCAUACCGACGACUUGCCAGACUUUGUCACCCUGACGUUGCGGCCAUCCACAGGAAAGACUCAUCUGCCACCGAUUUCAUGAAGAUCCACGCCGCUUAUUCCACUCUCUCUGAUCCUGAGAAACGUGCUGAUUACGAUCGGAAGCUUCUUCGUCGGUGU